Long non-coding RNA from Gorilla gorilla gorilla (western lowland gorilla), 920 nucleotides. RefSeq lists it as uncharacterized. The record is from RefSeq and is a predicted model, not a curated record. Lineage: Eukaryota; Metazoa; Chordata; Mammalia; Primates; Hominidae. The transcript is spliced from 3 exons.
AACUGCAGAAUCUUUUCCACUCAACUUCCUCGUUCUGGGAUAUAAUAAAUAGACAACGUAUGGCCCAACAGCACAUUGGAGACAAAUUUUCUGUGAUAGAAAAAUGUUUUUUACUACACACAAUGUUUCUCAAAGGAGAGACAGGGUCUCACUAUGUUGCCUGGACUGGCCUUGAACUCCCUGGGCUCAAGCAAUCCACCUCCCUCAGCUUCCCAAAGUGCUGGGAUAACAGUUAAUGACUUGAGAGACUUACUAUACAAAUGGACAGACCAUGCAUGACAAGAGAACUCUGAUCUACAACUGCUGCAGCAACAAGUCAGAGAAGCCGAACCACCAUCUCUGGCUUCAAUCAGAAUGGUUAGGACUUGGUCAAUGCCUGCCAGCUUCUUAAUUUCUUACUGCCACCUCCAUACCCUCUCCCUCUUCCCCCACCACCCUUCCAACUCAGGACCAACCAUCGAACUCCAAAUAUCUCCAAAUAUGCUCCCCAAACCAAUCACAUAAGAUGCCCUGCUUCUAGUUGCCUGGCCUUUUGGAUAGCCUUCCUCAGCUUCUCCAGGCCAACAACAUCCAAUCAGAGCACACCUGAAGCCUUUCUUGUUUUUACACUGUGAAGCUUUCCCACUCCCACACCUGCCUUUGAAUCUCUGCCAAAUGCAAGUGAUGGUGGCUGUCUCCCUUACUUUAAAUAAAUAGACUUUGUUCAUGAGAACACAUGGACACAGGAAGGGGAACAGCACACUCUGGGGACUGUUGUGGGGUGGGGGGAGGGGGGAGGGAUAGCUUUAGGAGAUAUACCUAAUGCUAAAUGACGAGUUAAUGGGUGCAGCACACCAGCAUGGCACAUGUAUACAUAUGUAACUAACCUGCACAUUGUGCACAUGUACCCUAAAACUUAAAGUAUAAUAAUAAUAAAAUUU